Molecule: non-coding RNA, 72 nt
Organism: Picea glauca (white spruce)
Lineage: Eukaryota; Viridiplantae; Streptophyta; Pinopsida; Pinales; Pinaceae
Source: Rfam
GGAUCUGUGGCGCAAUGGUAGUGCGUUUGACUCCAAAUCAGAAGGUUGUGUGUUAGAUUCACGUUGGUUUCA